CUGAAUCACAUGUUGAAGUGCAAAAUAAAUUUUUUCCUGAAGCUUCUGGACCUUCCUUGGUUCUAUCAGCCAGGCUCGGUCUGACAAAGGGAAAGAAUGGGUAAGGAGCGGACAGAAUGUAAGCUUUGUUGUAUUUCACCUGCAUACAUAUAAGUGCUGAGUACCAGACCCAUUCCAAAUUAGUUCCAAAUUGCUUCUGAAGACAUGUCAUUAUUUUUCUAAAACAAAUAUUUUAUAAGAAAUUCUAUGAUGACAGUAACAUUGACAUACAGAAUCAGGGUGGAGGUAAAGACACAAUGGUUCAGAGAAACUCCAUGUGUCUUAUUGUCUGUGACAAUUUACAUCUCUUUUUCUCUGGACAUACGCUUAGAUUUUCUUUCAAAGUUUAUGUUAAUGAUUUGUGAAGAAAUGAAUUAUAGAAGUGAAGAAAACCUAUCAUAAAGGAGUGUUUUUGGAAUUCAGAAUCUCCCUUCCCUUUUAUAAGCUAAGUUAUAAUUUAUAUAGCAUCAACAUGAAUCAAUUAAAAAAUUUAAUCCUGAGUCCUCUUUUUCUAUAUUGAAUUUAAUAGAUAGGAUAAUCCCUCCUUUCCUUUAGCCUUUCCCACUCUCCUUUCUUUUUUCUUUCCUCCCUCCCUCCCUCUCUUUGUUCCCUGCUUCCGUCCUUCCUUUCUUCCUAGACGCUUUAUACCAUGGUGACAAAAUUCAGCCCAGUGUCAACGCCUAAGGUUGAAACUUCAGUGAAGAGACACCUAGAGUCUCCAAAUUCUGAACAAAUACUCAUGGAAAAGAACUUGGACAUGAUCCUUCUGAACACAGUUCAGGUCAGGAACCGGAGUGAAACCAGCUCCCUCAUCGUGGACUCAAAGGCUUAGAACUAAUCGUCACCUGAACUAUAAUCAAUGGGAGCAAUCAAAUGCAAUGAGAAAACGAACUUAUGGAGACUGCUUUUUGGUAC
Aethalodelphis obliquidens (Pacific white-sided dolphin) is the source of this 954-nucleotide long non-coding RNA. RefSeq lists it as uncharacterized. Lineage: Eukaryota; Metazoa; Chordata; Mammalia; Artiodactyla; Delphinidae. The transcript has 3 exons. The record is from RefSeq and is a predicted model, not a curated record.